Molecule: ribosomal RNA, 514 nt
Filed under: uncultured bacterium
Lineage: Bacteria
Description: partial 16S ribosomal RNA
Rfam family: Bacterial small subunit ribosomal RNA
Source: RNAcentral
GAUGAACGCUGGCGGCGUGCCUAAUACAUGCAAGUCGAGCGAACAGAUGAGAAGCUUGCUUCUCUGAUGUUAGCGGCGGACGGGUGAGUAACACGUGGGUAACCUACCUAUAAGACUGGGAUAACUCCGGGAAACCGGGGCUAAUACCGGAUAAUAUUUUGAACCGCAUGGUUCAAUAGUGAAAGACGGUUGCGGCUGUCACUUAUAGAUGGACCCGCGCCGUAUUAGCUAGUUGGUAAGGUAAAGGCUUACCAAGGCGACGAUACGUAGCCGACCUGAGAGGGAGAGCGGCCACACUGGAAAUGAGACACGGUCCAGACUCCUACGGGAGGCAGCAGUAGGGAAUCUUCCGCAAUGGGCGAAAGCCUGACGGAGCAACGCCGCGUGAGUGAUGAAGGUCUUCGGAUCGUAAAACUCUGCUGUUAGGGAAGAACAAAUUUGUUAGUAACUGAACAAGUCUUGACGGUACCUAACCAGAAAGCCACGGCUAACUACGUGCCAGCCGCCGCCGUAA